GACGUAGGGGGCGAGCGUUGUCCGGAUUUACUGGGCGUAAAGGGCGCGUAGGCGGCUUGUUAAGUGUGGUGUGAAAUCUCCAGGGCUCAACCCGGAAACCGCACCGCAUACUGGCUAGCUUGAGGAACGCAGAGGUGACUGGAAUUCCCGGUGUAGCGGUGAAAUGCAUUGAUAUCGGGAGGAACUCCAAUGGCGAAGGCAGGUCACGGGGCGUCACCUGACGCUGAGGCGCGAAAGCGUGGGUAGCAAACAGG
RNAcentral lists this ribosomal RNA (254 nucleotides) under uncultured bacterium. RNAcentral's name for it is "partial 16S ribosomal RNA". It matches the Rfam family "Bacterial small subunit ribosomal RNA", at positions 524 to 776 of the family's 1533-position model. The record is from RNAcentral.